AUGUAAACAAAAAUUUAGAAUGGCGUUUCAAGCAGGUCUAAUUCCAUGCAAAUCCCAAAUUUGUUGUGUUCGCCGGUAAGCCUGAUUGGAAUUAUUAACGGAUUGUGCAACAUUGAGUACAAUUCUGGAAUAAAAAUUCUCAAUUCGAUUUCGAGAUGGCAUGUACUCAACGAAACAAGCCCAUGACAGGCCAUUUGGGUAUGCUGAAAGAACUAAACUGCAACGAGAAAUUAACACCCUCAAAGCUGACGCCGGUGCACCCGAGCAGGGUUUCGAAGCGUCCAGAAUCGGAAACGCUCGGAUCGGGUGUUCUUCGUUGAGGAACUCGGCAUAACUUUCUGACUGCACCAUAGUCACGACGAUCUGGAAUGUUUUCAGCAUAAGGGCACUUGAAUCAAAACUCGGAAUACCAUCGGAAAUGGCCCUCGGGAGGGUGCGAAGACCGUCUCCAAAAACCGGAGUAGUUUUUUCGGCGACUGGACAUCUCUAGUACCGUAGACAUGCACGUAGUAGCUCCUCCAACCGAUAAGGCAACCACGGAAAGUGGAAUUAGUGGGCCAAAGGCGAUUCCCAAUCGCAAACCGCUUGGCACCGACGCAGGAGGAACUUCUUUUAACAAGUUAAAGUGAUUAUAGUUAGUAUAAAAAGUUCGAAAAAUAAAAACAAUGAAAAAUUUAAAUAA
This is a long non-coding RNA of Uranotaenia lowii, 682 nucleotides long. RefSeq lists it as uncharacterized. The transcript has 3 exons. Lineage: Eukaryota; Metazoa; Arthropoda; Insecta; Diptera; Culicidae. The record is from RefSeq and is a predicted model, not a curated record.